AUGGGGAAUCGUUUAUCCUCUGCAAGCAGCUCGCUACUCAAAAAGGAUUUAGUGAAGCCUCCCGGUCAAGAAACAUCCUAUCAAGCUCAAUGUUAUUCGAACACAUCACCCUCAGAUGAGCUUCUUGGUGCCAUGGCAACAUUUGAUGUAUAUGGGUUCCCAAAUUUGAACAAGGACCAAGUAAGCUCAGCAGAUUUAGCGGUACUAAAUGAGCAACGCCAUGAUCUUACUGACGGAAAUGCUUUAUUUGCCGGAUGGAUGGUUGAUAAUGGUGUCUCGACAGGAUGCUAUAAUCUGGACCGUGAUGGUUUUGUACCUGUAAACAAUGCCCCUAUAACUCCUGGAGAUAUUUUAGAGCCAACUAAUGGCACUCUGAGUAUCACAAUCAAGAUAUUUAAGAAAAAAGAUGAUGGUGACUGGUGGUUGUACUUUGGACAUGAUAAUAACAAUCUUAGCCCUGUAGGAUUUUGGUUGAGCAGUGUUUUAACCAAUUUGGCUGACCAUGCAAACGUCAUAGCAUGGGGUGGCUACACCUACACACAAUCUACUACUCCCUCCUUCCCUAAAUAUUUGACACCGUUGACUUUUUUAAACAUGUUCAACCAUUCGUUUUAUUCAAACACUUUUGUGAAAUAUUGUUGACAGAAAACAC
Molecule: long non-coding RNA, 652 nt
Filed under: Oryza sativa Indica Group (long-grained rice)
Lineage: Eukaryota; Viridiplantae; Streptophyta; Magnoliopsida; Poales; Poaceae
Description: lncRNA OsZS97_12G013400
Source: RNAcentral